This 462-nucleotide ribosomal RNA is filed under the name uncultured bacterium. RNAcentral's name for it is "partial 16S ribosomal RNA". It matches the Rfam family "Bacterial small subunit ribosomal RNA", at positions 28 to 507 of the family's 1533-position model. The record is from RNAcentral.
GACGAACGCUGGCGGCGUGCUUAACACAUGCAAGUCGAGCGGAAAGGCCCUUCGGGGUACUCGAGCGGCGAACGGGUGGGUAACACGUGAGUAACCUGCCCCAGACUUUGGGAUAACCCUCGGAAACGGGGGCUAAUACCGGAUACGACACAGCUUCGCAUGGGGUCUGUGUGGAAAGUUUUUCGGUUUGGGAUGGGCUCGCGGCCUAUCAGCUUGUUGGUGGGGUGAUGGCCUACCAAGGCGACGACGGGUAGCCGGCCUGAGAGGGCGACCGGCCACAAUGGGACUGAGACACGGCACAGACUCCUACGGGAGGCAGCAGCGGGGAAUAUUGCACAAUGGGCGGAAGCCUGAUGCAGCGACGCCGCGUGAGGGAUGACGGCCUUCGGGUUGUAAACCUCUUUCAGCAGGGACGAAGCGUAAGUGACGGUACCUGCAGAAGAAGCGCCGGCCAACUACGUG